This 67-nucleotide transfer RNA is filed under the name Marmota monax (woodchuck). RNAcentral's name for it is "tRNA.Ala". It matches the Rfam family "tRNA", at positions 6 to 65 of the family's 71-position model. Rfam says of the family: Transfer RNA (tRNA) molecules are approximately 80 nucleotides in length. Their secondary structure includes four short double-helical elements and three loops (D, anti-codon, and T loops). Further hydrogen bonds mediate the characteristic L-shaped molecular structure. tRNAs have two regions of fundamental functional importance: the anti-codon, which is responsible for specific mRNA codon recognition, and the 3' end, to which the tRNAs corresponding amino acid is attached (by aminoacyl-tRNA synthetases). tRNAs cope with the degeneracy of the genetic code in two manners: having more than one tRNA (with a specific anti-codon) for a particular amino acid; and 'wobble' base-pairing, i.e. permitting non-standard base-pairing at the 3rd anti-codon position. Lineage: Eukaryota; Metazoa; Chordata; Mammalia; Rodentia; Sciuridae. The record is from RNAcentral.
GUUGUGGCUCAGUGGUAGAGCACUUGCCUGGCAUGUGUGAGGGCCUGGGUCCAAAUCUCUGCAUAUA